This 65-nucleotide transfer RNA is filed under the name Platystomos albinus. RNAcentral's name for it is "tRNA-Ile". Lineage: Eukaryota; Metazoa; Arthropoda; Insecta; Coleoptera; Anthribidae. The record is from RNAcentral.
AAUAAGGUGCCUGAAAAAAGGUUUAUUUUGAUAGAAUAACUAAUGUGGGAGUUCCACCCUUAUUA